AUCACAUGCACUUGUUGUUUUACUACGAAAAGGAUAACCAGAGCCACUUCUUGCACUGCAUGCAAACCUCAUAACCUCCCAAAUCUUUGUUUCCCUAUCAUCAAAAUGGCCACCACAGCCACAAAACUCCGUCGUUUCCUCCCCCUCUUCCCCAUCUUUCUUUGUCUCUUUUCCCUCUUCAUCAUCCCUUCUCAUUCCUCCUUAGACUCUUUCAUCUACGGUGGCUGUUCUCAGAUAAAAUACACCCCAGACUCGCCCUACGAGUCAAAUCUAAACUCACUCCUCACUUCCCUGGUUAACUCAGCCACUUAUGCAGCUUACAACAAAUAUUCCGUCACGGGUUCGAGCCCACAAGAUGUUGUCUACGGGCUGUAUCAAUGCAGGGGCGAUUUAUCCAUGCCUGAUUGUGCCACAUGUGUGACUCGGGCAGUGAGUCAAUUCGGUGGCUUGUGUCCGCAGACUUGUGGCGGAGCUCUGCAGUUACAAGGGUGCUUCGUCAAGUACGAUAACAGUAGCUUUAUUGGCCAAGAAGAUAAGACUGUCGUGAUGAAGAAAUGUGGACCGUCCAAUGGUUUUGAUACUGAUGCAAUGAACCGUCGUGAUGCGGUUUUGGGGAGCUUGGGUUCGGCUGGUGGGCUGUACAGAGUUGGUGGGGCUCAGGAUAUUCAAGGGGUAGCGCAAUGCGUCGGGGAUUUGAGUAUGGGACAGUGUCAAGAUUGUUUAUCAGAGGCAAUCAAGCGGUUGAAAACUGAGUGUGGAGGAGCUGUUUUUGGUGAUAUGUUUUUGGGGAAAUGUUAUGCUAGAUAUUCUACUAGUGGAGAUCAUCCUUAUGCAGCAAGAUCUGGUCAUGUGGUAUUACGCAACUUGCAAGUAAUUUUUGGACAAUCUUCUCUUAUUUGAUAUUACAGAAUCUUCUCACAGCGAUUCUGAGAAGACAUUUGCAAUUAUUAUUGGACUAUUAGCUGGUGUAGCUCUAAUUAUCAUAUUAGCAACUUUCAUGAGAAGAACGUUUGGUGAAAAUGGUAAAUAAAUAACCAUAGAUCCCUCUUGCCAAAGUAACCUGGAAUUAACCAAGAAUUUCAAGAAUAUUUCUUCCCCGACUUAUUUUUUUGAAAGCCCUUUUUGCCUUUUUCUUUUGCUGUUGCCCUUCACCUGCGUUUCUGUUUGGGGAUUUGCUUUAUGCUUCUAUGCGAAAGGAGUUACAGAUCGUGGAUGAAAUCAAGACGGAAAAGAUGCCUCUAGAUUCUAGGGAUAUGUGUACUCUGAAAGCAAAAUUCAAGUUAAAGAUGGUUAAAAGAGGGAUGCCAAGAUUCCACCCUUUUCUCCACUUCAACAAAGUUGUAUCGUCUAAUGUUAAAAAGUGGCAUAUUCUUUUGUAAAGGAGCAAAUGGCAUAGUCUGUAUGGUGCUUUUCAUCCUUUUAUCGUUCAAUUGUCACAGCAAUUUUUUUUU
This is a non-coding RNA of Coffea arabica (coffee), 1451 nucleotides long. The record is from RefSeq and is a predicted model, not a curated record. Lineage: Eukaryota; Viridiplantae; Streptophyta; Magnoliopsida; Gentianales; Rubiaceae.